Small nuclear RNA from Cicer arietinum (chickpea), 102 nucleotides. The record is from RefSeq and is a predicted model, not a curated record. NCBI's taxonomy places the organism in Eukaryota, Viridiplantae, Streptophyta, Magnoliopsida, Fabales, Fabaceae.
GUCCCCUCGGGGACAUCCUAUAAAAUUGGAACGAUACAGAGAAGAUUAGCAUGGCCCCUGUGCAAGGAUGACACUGGUCCAAAUUUUUUUGACUUUUUUUUU